UCGCAGCGACUGCGGACGACAUUAUCGAGUCACAAAACAAUUGAACAAACGGUUUUGUUGCUGGCCUCUCAAACAUAAUAAAUACAUCAGAGAGGAGCCCAAUAAAAUAUCCCAAAAAAAAGGAUAUAUAUAACAUGUUCCCAAAAACAAAUCGGGUCACUCUCUUGUGGAAAUAAAAGAAAGAAGGCAUUUGUGCACGACCUCAUUCGAUUGUCACACUCUCAUAAACCCCUUUGUGCACCUAUUGUAGACAGUUGGUUUGACGGAGAUUGACUCUUCAAAGUUAGUCUUACAAAGACCUAGUCUAUGUUUAACACAACAAACUAGUCAGUUACAGAAUGUGAUCAAACAAUAAAUAUAUAACUUUCAGCAACGGAUCUCUUGGCUCUCGCAUCGAUGAAGAACGCAGCGAAAUGCGAUAAGUAAUGUGAAUUGCAGAAUUCAGUGAAUCAUCGAAUCUUUGAACGCACCUUGCGCUCCCUGGUAUUCCGGGGAGCAUACCUGUUUGAGUGUCAUGGUAUUCUCAACUCCUUCUCCUUAGCUUCUGGCUAGUUGAAGAAGCUUGGACUUUGGAGGGUUGUGUGUCGGUUUCAAUUCAUUUUGAAUCGACUCCUCUGAAAUGCAUUAGUGCGAGAAACGUACAUGCAAAUUGCCUAGAAAAGAGAGGUGUGUGAUAAUAAUAUAUCUACAUCUGCUGGGUGGUUGAAAAGUGUGUGUAUGGAAAAAUGCUUGUGCUUCUAACAGUCUCUAUGAAACGAGACAAACAUAUAUGAAAUAUAAAUAUACAGUCCUCUAUGAAACGAGACAAUAUAUUCAUAUAUACAUAUAUAAUGAAUCUGACCUCAAAUCAGGUAGGACUACCCGCUGACUAAGUGA
RNAcentral lists this ribosomal RNA (876 nucleotides) under Climacodon roseomaculatus. Its description in RNAcentral is "eukaryotic LSU rRNA". The stretch from base 362 to 515 matches the Rfam family "5.8S ribosomal RNA". The record is from RNAcentral. Lineage: Eukaryota; Fungi; Basidiomycota; Agaricomycetes; Polyporales; Meruliaceae.